UACAGAGGUCUCAAGCGUUGUUCGGAUUCAUUGGGCGUAAAGGGUGCGUAGGUGGCGCCGUAAGUCGGGUGUGAAAUUUCGGAGCUUAACUCCGAAACUGCAUUCGAUACUACCGUGCUUGAGGACUGGAGAGGAGACUGGAAUUUACGGUGUAGCGGUGAAAUGCGUAGAUAUCGUAAGGAAGACCAGUGGCGAAGGCGGGUCUCUGGACAGUUCCUGACGCUGAGGCACGAAGGCCAGGGGAGCGAACGGG
Molecule: ribosomal RNA, 253 nt
Filed under: uncultured bacterium
Lineage: Bacteria
Description: partial 16S ribosomal RNA
Rfam family: Bacterial small subunit ribosomal RNA
Source: RNAcentral